This 82-nucleotide transfer RNA is filed under the name Merluccius polli (Benguela hake). It matches the Rfam family "tRNA". Rfam says of the family: Transfer RNA (tRNA) molecules are approximately 80 nucleotides in length. Their secondary structure includes four short double-helical elements and three loops (D, anti-codon, and T loops). The record is from Rfam by way of RNAcentral. Lineage: Eukaryota; Metazoa; Chordata; Actinopteri; Gadiformes; Merlucciidae.
GAUGGGGUGGCCGAGUGGUUAAGGCGAUGGACUGCUAAUCCAUUGUGCUCUGCAUGCGAGGGUUCGAAUCCCAUCCUCAUCG